AGAGUUUGAUCCUGGCUCAGAUUGAACGCUGGCGGCAGGCUUAACACAUGCAAGUCGAGCGGUAGCACAGAGAAACUUGUUUCUUGGGUGACGAGCGGCGGACGGGUGAGUAACGCGUAGGAAUCUGCCUGGUAGUGGGGGACAACAUGUGGAAACGCAUGCUAAUACCGCAUACGCCCUUAGGGGGAAAGGAGGGGAUCUUCGGACCUUUCGCUAUCAGAUGAGCCUGCGUGAGAUUAGCUAGUUGGUGGGGUAAAGGCUCACCAAGGCGACGAUCUCUAGCUGGUCUGAGAGGAUGACCAGUCACACUGGGACUGAGACACGGCCCAGACUCCUACGGGAGGCAGCAGUGGGGAAUAUUGGACAAUGGGGGCAACCCUGAUCCAGCCAUGCCGCGUGUGUGAAGAAGGCCUUAGGGUUGUAAAGCACUUUCAGUGGUGAGGAAGGUUGCGAGGUUAAUACCCUUGUAAUUUGACGUUAGCCACAGAAGAAGCACCGGCUAACUCUGUGCCAGCAGCCGCGGUAAUACAGAGGGUGCAAGCGUUAAUCGGAAUUACUGGGCGUAAAGCGCGCGUAGGUGGUUUGUUAAGUCGGAUGUGAAAUCCCCGGGCUCAACCUGGGAACUGCACCCGAUACUGGCAGGCUAGAGUACAAUAGAGGGGUGUGGAAUUUCCUGUGUAGCGGUGAAAUGCGUAGAUAUAGGAAGGAACAUCAGUGGCGAAGGCGACACCCUGGAUUGAUACUGACACUGAGGUGCGAAAGCGUGGGGAGCAAACAGGGAUUAGAUACCCUGGGUAGUCCACGCCGUAAACGAUGUCUACUAGCCGUUGGGGAAUUUAUUUCUUAGUGGCGCAGCUAACGCGAUAAGUAGACCGCCUGGGGGAGUACGGCCGCAAGGUUAAAACUCAAGGGAAUUGACGG
This 921-nucleotide ribosomal RNA is filed under the name uncultured marine bacterium. RNAcentral's name for it is "bacterial SSU rRNA". It matches the Rfam family "Bacterial small subunit ribosomal RNA", at positions 8 to 916 of the family's 1533-position model. The record is from RNAcentral.